CAAGUUCAUUUGCUCCGAGCUUUAUCAUCUAAGGCAAAGCUAUGAUGAUGGAGCCGAUAGGGUUUGUCUGGAAACCGGCAGGCCUCCCGUGUGGAAAGGAGUAGCGCAUUUUACCUG
This 117-nucleotide non-coding RNA is filed under the name Desulforamulus ruminis. RNAcentral describes it as "Desulfotomaculum ruminis MoCo sequence". It matches the Rfam family "Molybdenum/Tungsten riboswitch aptamer (Moco RNA motif)". RNAcentral also lists the same sequence under 1 other name. Lineage: Bacteria; Bacillati; Bacillota; Clostridia; Eubacteriales; Peptococcaceae. The record is from RNAcentral.